GGGUUAAUAACUCAAUGGUAGAGUACUCGGCUUUUAACCGAUUUGUUCCGGGUUCGAGUCCCGGUUAACCCA
Molecule: transfer RNA, 72 nt
Filed under: Prasiolopsis wulf-kochii
Lineage: Eukaryota; Viridiplantae; Chlorophyta; Trebouxiophyceae; Prasiolales; Prasiolaceae
Description: tRNA-Lys
Rfam family: tRNA
About the family: Transfer RNA (tRNA) molecules are approximately 80 nucleotides in length. Their secondary structure includes four short double-helical elements and three loops (D, anti-codon, and T loops). Further hydrogen bonds mediate the characteristic L-shaped molecular structure. tRNAs have two regions of fundamental functional importance: the anti-codon, which is responsible for specific mRNA codon recognition, and the 3' end, to which the tRNAs corresponding amino acid is attached (by aminoacyl-tRNA synthetases). tRNAs cope with the degeneracy of the genetic code in two manners: having more than one tRNA (with a specific anti-codon) for a particular amino acid; and 'wobble' base-pairing, i.e. permitting non-standard base-pairing at the 3rd anti-codon position.
Source: RNAcentral